Molecule: long non-coding RNA, 1162 nt
Organism: Gossypium arboreum
Lineage: Eukaryota; Viridiplantae; Streptophyta; Magnoliopsida; Malvales; Malvaceae
Exons: 3
Source: RefSeq, a predicted model, not a curated record
AUACAAACUCUGUAUGAUGGAGCAGGUUUCAUUCAGUUCGAAGUACUAUUAAUGUAAUAAUUUCUUUAUUCAACUAUAUAUGUAUUAAUAUUAAAUUUUAGCAGUAAAAUAACUUACAGAUUGGUCUGGGCCUUACGUGAAGAUGACGGAAAAAAAAUGUAAAGCCAGAGUUCUGGGUGAAGGAACUAAGAGAUUGCGGUAUGUCGGUUCGUCCUAUAAACUCCUUUUGGCGGAUAAAGACGAUUUCGACUUCAUUUUAGGAUAUGAGCUAAUUGAAAUCCAAGAUUUUACCCCCUACCCUCAGAGUUUCAGCUUUCGAUUUCGGUCGGCUAUGACUUCCAGCUUAUCCCUUCUCAGAAUAAGCUCUAAACUACUCAAACUGUUAGCUCUCUCAAGGAUUCCCAGACACCUGCUGCCAUCCAUUACCGUUGGCUUCUGCAGGAGGAUAAAUUUCAUAAAUUAGCUAAUUCCAUAAUCCAUGACCUUCAAGAAAAAUACUUGAGGCAAGUAAGAUUUGCUGAUUUUGGAACUUUUCUUUCCUUCAUUUUGUGAGGUUUAACACAUUGCCUUGCAAUUGUUAGAAUGAAGUAUUGACACUAAAACUUGGGGAUUUGGUCACCUAUGUGUUGACUAAACAGAUCCCUGAUCGACAAAUUUGGUUAUCUUCACCACUAAGCGGUCCAUCCAGGUUCGAAUGAUAGUUUGUUUUGUGAGUUUGGAUGGGCGGAGCGGUACGUUUAGUUUAGUUUAUUUUUUAUCUCAUGCUACAAUAUCGCUACAAUAUCUAAUAUCACCGUCACUGCUAUUUUUAAAUUAAUAGUAGGUAAACGCAUUGCCCAUCCAAACCCAUCAAGUUCGAAUGAUAGUUUGCCUAGUUCUGAUGUUGAUGUUGGAAGCAUUUAUCGCCAUUGAAGGAGGGUUUGCCUGCAACAAGAUAUCUUUCUACAUUUUUCUUAAACCCCAUCUUUGGAUGUAUGGAUUUUUUAUAAAAAGAAAUACAACGUCAGCGGUAGAACAUCACAAGGAUACAAUUUUUAGUAUUGGAACCCACAUUUUGUGUUUCGCAGUGAACAUCGAUAAGCCAAAUAUUGGGUUCUCUUUGGAGAUAACAGCGUAUCUAUAAAUUAAUAAAAUAAAUCCCAAAAUAGUGAAUUAAACUCAA